This 433-nucleotide ribosomal RNA is filed under the name uncultured bacterium. RNAcentral's name for it is "partial 16S ribosomal RNA". It matches the Rfam family "Bacterial small subunit ribosomal RNA", at positions 29 to 507 of the family's 1533-position model. The record is from RNAcentral.
AACGAACGCUGGCGGCAUGCCUAACACAUGCAAGUCGAACGAGACCUUCGGGCUUAGUGGUGCACGGGUGCGUAACGCGUGGGAACCUGCCCUUAGGUUUGCAAUAACUUCCCGAAAGGCGUGCUAAUACCGGAUAUUGUACUCGGUCCAAAGAUUUAUCGCCUUUGGAUGGGCUUGGGAUGGCUUAGUUAGUUGGUAGGGUAAAAGCGUAUCAAGGCGAGGAUCCAUAGCUGGUUAGAGAGGAUGAGCAGCCACACUGGUACUGAGACACGGCCCAGACUCCUACGCGAUGCGGCAGUGGAGAAUAUUGGACUGUGGGCGAUGGGCUGAUCCAGCAAGGCCGGGUAAGUAAUGAAGGCCGUAGGGUUGUGAAGCACUUUUACACGGUGUGAUAUUGACAUUACCGGGAGAAUAAGCUCCGGCUAACUCCGUG